GUCGAGCAAGGAUGAAAAUCGGACUUAGUGAUCCGGUGGUUCUGCGUGGAAGGGCCAUCGCUCAACGGAUAAAAGCUACCCUGGGGAUAACAGGCUUAUCUCCCCCAAGAGUCCACAUCGACGGGGAGGUUUGGCACCUCGAUGUCGGCUCAUCACAUCCUGGGGCUGUAGUAGGUCCCAAGGGUUGGGCUGUUCGCCCAUUAAAGUGGUACGCGAGCUGGGUUCAGAACGUCGUGAGACAGUUCGGUCCCUAUCCGUCGCAGGCGUAGGAAAUUUGAGAAGACCUGUCCUUAGUACGAGAGGACCGGGAUGGACGUACCUCUGGUGUACCAGUUGUUCUGCCAAGGGCAUGGCUGGGUAGCUAUGUACGGAAUGGAUAAGCGCUGAAAGCAUCUAAGCGCGAAGCCAACUUCAAGAUAAGAUUUCCCACCGCAAGGGUAAGACCCCAGAAAGACUAUCUGGUUGAUAGGUCGAAGGUGUAAGUGCAGCAAUGUAUUUAGCUUAUCGAUACUAAUAGGUCGAGGACUUGACCAAU
This 535-nucleotide ribosomal RNA is filed under the name Clostridioides difficile. Its description in RNAcentral is "partial 23S ribosomal RNA". It matches the Rfam family "Bacterial large subunit ribosomal RNA", at positions 2388 to 2925 of the family's 2925-position model. The record is from RNAcentral. Lineage: Bacteria; Bacillati; Bacillota; Clostridia; Peptostreptococcales; Peptostreptococcaceae.